Non-coding RNA from Pelobates cultripes (western spadefoot toad), 845 nucleotides. The record is from the annotation of a GenBank genome assembly. Lineage: Eukaryota; Metazoa; Chordata; Amphibia; Anura; Pelobatidae.
GCAUAGUGACUGAUUUUAACUUGAAACUUGGUAUAUAAUGGACAAGCAAAAGUAAUGGAUAGCAUGAAAAAGACUAAACAUUCAUUUUUAUUGGCAAUAAUAAUAAUAUAAUGCUAUACAUUGUAUAUCUGCCAAUAUAAGUAUGAAACAGGUUUAGAGCAUGAGAAGGGGCACGCUAGUGAUGUAAAGUACCACAGUAGCAGGCGAACAGUGUGUAAGCUAGAUGUUCAUGGAAAACAACUAUAACUAAUACAAACAUACACAAUGAAGCCCUGAGCUAAAACUCCCACUACUCCUGGGCGGCAGAAAUGACUAUAGUACACAUCAUCCCCAAUACAUUCCAUAAAAACCAUAAAAAAGAGUUACUUGUGCACUACCCAAAAUCCCUAUGCACUUUUAAACAACUGAAGGUUUUUUAUAAUACAGUGAUUUAGUGAUACUAAAAAGUCAAAACCAAGGACUGAAAUGUGUUUAGGUGACAACUAAACUUUAUCUCGAAAUACAUUUCCAGAUGAUCCAGUAUACAGCUCCAGAACAGCUUGAUUGUGGACAUCUACUGUAAUGCAGAAAUUUCAGAUGUCAACUUUAACAAAAAACACACAGUAAAUCUUUACAAUUCUACUGAAAUAAGCAACUAUCAAUCAUAGCAGAUUAAAUAUAUAUGAUUUGAAUUAAAUUUAGAAUAAAACACACAUUUUUCUCGUACAUUUUUUUCCAAUGAAGCCUAUCAAUACAGUUUUAUCUAUUAAGUUUGAACAUUAUAGAACCCUAACCUAUUCUAACUUGCAUUUGAUAUUCUGUUUUAAUUAUAUUACGUAUAAUCUAUUCUAACUUGCAUUUGAUAU